CUUUAGCUCAAUUGGAUAGAGCAUCUGACUACGGAUCAGAAGGUUGCAGGUUCGACUCCUGCAAGG
RNAcentral lists this transfer RNA (66 nucleotides) under bovine gut metagenome. It matches the Rfam family "tRNA", at positions 5 to 66 of the family's 71-position model. Rfam says of the family: Transfer RNA (tRNA) molecules are approximately 80 nucleotides in length. Their secondary structure includes four short double-helical elements and three loops (D, anti-codon, and T loops). The record is from RNAcentral.